RNAcentral lists this ribosomal RNA (301 nucleotides) under uncultured bacterium. RNAcentral's name for it is "partial 16S ribosomal RNA". It matches the Rfam family "Bacterial small subunit ribosomal RNA", at positions 509 to 808 of the family's 1533-position model. The record is from RNAcentral.
CAGUCGCCGCGGUAAAACGUAGGUGGCAAGCGUUGUCCGGAAUUAUUGGGCGUAAAGCGCGCGCAGGCGGAUCAGUUAGUCUGUCUUAAAAGUUCGGGGCUUAACCCCGUGAUGGGAUGGAAACUGCUGAUCUAGAGUAUCGGAGAGGAAAGUGGAAUUCCUAGUGUAGCGGUGAAAUGCGUGGAUAUUAGGAAGAACACCAGUGGCGAAGGCGGCUUUCUGGACUGCAACUGACGCUGAGGCUCGAAAGCCAGGGGAGCGAACGGGAUUAGAUACCCCCGUAGUCCCUGUCUCUUAUACC